UUUAUGGAGAGUUUGAUCCUGGCUCAGGAUGAACGCUGGCGGCGUGCCUAAUACAUGCAAGUCGAGCGAACGGACGAGAAGCUUGCUUCUCUGAUGUUAGCGGCGGACGGGUGAGUAACACGUGGAUAACCUACCUAUAAGACUGGGAUAACUUCGGGAAACCGGAGCUAAUACCGGAUAAUAUUUUGAACCGCAUGGUUCAAAAGUGAAAGACGGUCUUGCUGUCACUUAUAGAUGGAUCCGCGCUGCAUUAGCUAGUUGGUAAGGUAACGGCUUACCAAGGCAACGAUGCAUAGCCGACCUGAGAGGGUGAUCGGCCACACUGGAACUGAGACACGGUCCAGACUCCUACGGGAGGCAGCAGUAGGGAAUCUUCCGCAAUGGGCGAAAGCCUGACGGAGCAACGCCGCGUGAGUGAUGAAGGUCUUCGGAUCGUAAAACUCUGUUAUUAGGGAAGAACAUAUGUGUAAGUAACUGUGCACAUCUUGACGGUACCUAAUCAGAAAGCCACGGCUAACUACGUGCCAGCAGCCGCGGUAAUACGUAGGUGGCAAGCGUUAUCCGGAAUUAUUGGGCGUAAAGCGCGCGUAGGCGGUUUUUUAAGUCUGAUGUGAAAGCCCACGGCUCAACCGUGGAGGGUCAUUGGAAACUGGAAAACUUGAGUGCAGAAGAGGAAAGUGGAAUUCCAUGUGUAGCGGUGAAAUGCGCAGAGAUAUGGAGGAACACCAGUGGCGAAGGCGACUUUCUGGUCUGUAACUGACGCUGAUGUGCGAAAGCGUGGGGAUCAAACAGGAUUAGAUACCCUGGUAGUCCACGCCGUAAACGAUGAGUGCUAAGUGUUAGGGGGUUUCCGCCCCUUAGUGCUGCAGCUAACGCAUUAAGCACUCCGCCUGGGGAGUACGACCGCAAGGUUGAAACUCAAAGGAAUUGACGGGGACCCGCACAAGCGGUGGAGCAUGUGGUUUAAUUCGAAGCAACGCGAAGAACCUUACCAAAUCUUGACAUCCUUUGACAACUCUAGAGAUAGAGCCUUCCCCUUCGGGGGACAAAGUGACAGGUGGUGCAUGGUUGUCGUCAGCUCGUGUCGUGAGAUGUUGGGUUAAGUCCCGCAACGAGCGCAACCCUU
RNAcentral lists this ribosomal RNA (1126 nucleotides) under Staphylococcus aureus. Its description in RNAcentral is "bacterial SSU rRNA". It matches the Rfam family "Bacterial small subunit ribosomal RNA", at positions 1 to 1106 of the family's 1533-position model. The record is from RNAcentral. Lineage: Bacteria; Bacillati; Bacillota; Bacilli; Caryophanales; Staphylococcaceae.